GCAGCUGGGCUCUAGGCUCUGUGUUGCUGAGGUGACUGUGGCUUUCUGACUCCUUGCCCUAAGAACAAAACUACAGAGCUCACCAAGUGGUGCUGGCACUAAGGAGUCAAGAACCCUGGCUUGGAGUGUGAACAACCUGAAUAACUUCUUCACACAUCAUAUUUGAGGACUUCCAGCCUAACGAAGAGAGGAUAUCUACUUAAUACCCUUUCUCAAGUCUGUGUCAAGAGAUAUUGUUCCUUUCAAAGAUGGUGGCAGUGGAGAUGUACACCAAAGGCAACAGAAUAAUGUCACAGGGGAGUCUAAAUUUAAUGAGAAGGAUUAAGCAUGUAUAGCCAUAUUUUAACCUAUUGAUUAGAAAGAAGUACAGGAACUUGAAACAUGCUUGCUAAAAGAGAAAUAAAA
Long non-coding RNA from Hyaena hyaena (striped hyena), 405 nucleotides. RefSeq lists it as uncharacterized. The record is from RefSeq and is a predicted model, not a curated record. The transcript is spliced from 3 exons. NCBI's taxonomy places the organism in Eukaryota, Metazoa, Chordata, Mammalia, Carnivora, Hyaenidae.